AUUAGGAAUUUUGCGCAAUGGGGGCAACCCUGACGCAGCGACGCCGCGUGGAGGACGAAGGUCUACGGAUCGUAAACUCCUUUUAUGAGGGAAGAAUUAAUGACGGUACCUCAUGAAUAAGCACCGGCUAACUCCGUGCCAGCAGCCGCGGUAAUACGGAGGGUGCAAGCGUUACUCGGAAUCACUGGGCGUAAAGGGUGCGUAGGCUGGCUUUUAAGUCUGGCGUGAAAUCCAAUGGCUUAAGCAUUGAACUGCGAUUGAAACUGGGAGGCUAGAGUUCAGAAGGGGCAGAUGGAAUUAGUGGUGUAGGGGUAAAAUCCGUAGAUAUCACUAGGAAUAUCAAAAGCGAAGGCGAUCUGCUGGGAUGAUACUGACGCUGAGGCACGAAAGCGUGGGGAGCAAACAGGAUUAGAUACCUGGGUAGUCC
This 427-nucleotide ribosomal RNA is filed under the name uncultured bacterium. RNAcentral describes it as "bacterial SSU rRNA". It matches the Rfam family "Bacterial small subunit ribosomal RNA", at positions 354 to 796 of the family's 1533-position model. The record is from RNAcentral.